AUGGUGUAGCUCAGCGGUAGAGCAGUUGGCUGUUAACCAACUGGUCGGUGGUUCGACUCCAUCACUCCCCACCA
RNAcentral lists this transfer RNA (74 nucleotides) under Escherichia coli. RNAcentral describes it as "tRNA-Asn". It matches the Rfam family "tRNA". Rfam says of the family: Transfer RNA (tRNA) molecules are approximately 80 nucleotides in length. Their secondary structure includes four short double-helical elements and three loops (D, anti-codon, and T loops). The record is from RNAcentral. Lineage: Bacteria; Pseudomonadati; Pseudomonadota; Gammaproteobacteria; Enterobacterales; Enterobacteriaceae.